CAGGGAGACAACAAAAUGUUAAAUAUUAAUUUUGUCACCUUAGGUCGAUCGGUACCUCACAUUCUUAAAUUUAUUAAGGAUUUUAUUUCCUAAGUUUUUUCUAGGUCACACCCAUCACUUUUCCUGGGCCAUUAGCUCAGGUGGUUAGAGCGCACCCCUGAUAAGGGUGAGGUCCCUGGUUCAAGUCCAGGAUGGCCCAUAUCUCUAUGUUGGGGGUAUAGCUCAGUUGGUAGAGCGCCUGCUUUGCAAGCAGGAUGUCAGCGGUUCGAGUCCGCUUACCUCCACUGAUUACCACCUCUUUCGUAAUCGAUUGAAAGGAAACUUGUUGCGAUGUGAUCUUACUUCUGAAUGAAUCUAGCUUCCUAAUGAAAUUACAAAGAUAAAUCAUUAAGAUGCUGGACUCAAUGAACAAUUAAUUUCAUUGUUUUCAGAGAACCUUGACAACUGCAUAGAUUAUUUUUAAAGACAAUAAGCAUCUUUAAUGAUGCAGAUUUAUUAUUUGUGCGAAUGCAUUAAUAACAAUUCUAUUAAGCUGAUGCUUCAAUUUUGAAGUUAUU
This 557-nucleotide transfer RNA is filed under the name uncultured Prochlorococcus sp. RNAcentral's name for it is "partial 16S-23S ribosomal RNA intergenic spacer". The stretch from base 212 to 284 matches the Rfam family "tRNA". The record is from RNAcentral. Lineage: Bacteria; Bacillati; Cyanobacteriota; Cyanophyceae; Synechococcales; Prochlorococcaceae.